CGUAUUUCAAGCAAAAAAUCAUCGCAGAAAGCCAAAGUCUUCCAUCAAGUCCUUGUGUUGAGGAGUUACGAGCAUCUUUUGAUACGGAGGCUUCAAAUGACUGGGGCUGGGAUAGUGACAUGGCAGCUCUUCUGUUGUUGCUGCAUCUCCUGCCCCCAACAUCAAAAGGCCACAAAAAAACAGCAAAAAUUAGCUCUGCACAGGCAGCCAAUCAUCUUGUGAGAUUCGUCAAGGAAGGAGUCAGCCUCACUACUUUCCUGGAGAAAGCUAACACCAGGCAGCCCUUCCUUCUCUGCAUUGGUGAGCAAAAGAAGAACAUUCAGAGGUUCUUCAUCAUUGUAG
This is a long non-coding RNA of Pelmatolapia mariae (spotted tilapia), 342 nucleotides long. RefSeq lists it as uncharacterized. NCBI's taxonomy places the organism in Eukaryota, Metazoa, Chordata, Actinopteri, Cichliformes, Cichlidae. The transcript is spliced from 3 exons. The record is from RefSeq and is a predicted model, not a curated record.